This 9010-nucleotide long non-coding RNA is filed under the name Fragaria vesca (wild strawberry). RNAcentral describes it as "long non-coding RNA (FVES_LNC000874)". The record is from RNAcentral. Lineage: Eukaryota; Viridiplantae; Streptophyta; Magnoliopsida; Rosales; Rosaceae.
UGUAACAAGCUCCUUCAUCGUUGCAAUCUAUGCAAAGAUUGCUUCUGAUUCUUCCUGCAAGCGGGUAAAAGCGAGUCAGGGUUUCCGAGAGAGAUUGUUUGAGUGCUUGUGAUCUUUCACUGCUAGUAGAAAUGGGAGGUGAAACAGGAGGAUAGAACAAGAUCAUGGGAACAUAAAUUGGAGGCAUUAAGUGAUCCAAGAGAGAAAAUUUGUAAGCGUUCAAGUGUGGAUGUGUUGGGGAAGAGGGCUUGAUGUACUCCUGGGAAAUUAUUUGGACCUCCAUUGGAGCAAGGCUUCAGAGAGUAUAUGAUCAAUGAUUUAGUUAACUAUAGCUUUUGCUGUCACAACAAAAUAGAUAGCUUUAGCUAUAUAUGAAUGGAUGAAGUUCGAUCAUGAGCUACUGCAGUACUCUAUGUACUGGAUCUUUCCUUGAUCAUCUCAAUCCGUUUGAAUUAAACUAUAUGCCAUUUGGAUUAUUAUUUUUUUUAUCAGAGUCGCUAAAACAUCACCUUCCAGUUGGUCAGAUGGUGUAUGAUAUGCCAUAGAAUAAUAGCAAAACCAGGUCAAUUAAACCAGAUUAGAACUACCCCGGAUAGAGCAGAUUGGGUAUCGUUGAAUACAAGCUAAUGAAAAUCUGCCAAAAUUGCAUUGUUUCCCAUUCUCCUGUAUCCAAGGAUGAUCGAUGACCUGAAGCGUGCCAAAAACGAGUGUAGAGGUUGUUACGGCACUCAUUUGGAAUGUACUGAGGCUGCACUUGGCUUCAACGCCAAAUGUUGCCAUACUUUAUAAAGUUAAGAAGGCUUGAUGCACUCUUUCGAAAUUAUACUUGCAUCCAUGCUUGAUUCUAGUCAUCUUGUUCAGCUCAAUAGGUCGAGUAUGGUACUGGUUCAGACCAAAAGAAAAUAAAAACGAGCUGCUUGGUUCAUAGGAAAGCAAGAGUGGAUCUCCAUAUCUUUUUAUAACCAACUAUGAUUCGUCUUAAUGGCAGUUGAGAUUUGAGGACAAGAUCCGCUAUACUAAGUGAUGAGCAAGUUAGCCAACUGGCCAAGUUUGUUUAUUAAUCACUACAGAGCUUACACAGCAAAAUUUAUUCACUCGAUUUUGACUUUUGACAGAAACAAAAUGAUAGUACAGCAGGAAUCAUUGCAAGGUUGAAUCAUACAAGUCUAUCUUACAAACUUUUACCAGCAAAAGGCUCAAAGCAGAAACAACAGAAAUGAUCAAAUGAUCAAAUAGAAACCAGUAUUUCGGUUUUACUUGAGGAUACUAGUAUUGAGACUAGCAAAAUUAAGCAAUUCUUGAUUGCUUUGAAACAAUUCCAUUUCUUCUUCAUGUAGAUUAAUCCAAGCUUCAAAUGCAUUGUUUCCCAUUCUCCUGUAUCCAUCAAAUGAACCUCAUUGAUUGAAAUGGCCUCGCGACCGGCAUUAUGAACUGGAACGACCCACAUAGGUUUUCCCCAGCCGAAAUCAGCAUCAUACACUCCAGAGUAGGCAAUACUGGUAUACCCAAUAAAGUUCAUCUCCCCAUCAGUAGUGGAGAUUGCAAUAGCCUCAUUCAUGUCUUGGAAAACCUUGCUAAUAGUUGCUAACCCACCUUGACCUUGUAGCUUCACCACCAAGUCACCAUUGACUUUCGAUGUUGCUUCCCUCAUCUUGCUCACCAAGCUUGACAACUCUAACUCCUCUUCUCCGUGACAUUCAUUUGCUAUUGCACCUGUCAAACAAACAAAAUUCCCCAUACUAUUUUGUGGAAGAUUCGGGUCAGCUCUUCGGCGCAAAUUCACUGCGUGAGUUAUCAAACAUGGUGCAGAUCGACCAGACUUGGCCUUCCAAGCAGCUCUUGCGCAUUUCAAGAUGAAUGCUGAAACUGCCUCCACCCGACUUGGAUUCUGUAAUGAUGAUGUUGCUGCUACCUCUUUAAGUUUGGCCACAGCUGAGGCCUCAAAUACAAACCUGUUUGUAACACUCCUUCCUUUCUUGGCAAAACGCCUGUAAAAUCCCCUCAUAGUUGCUUGUGUUGGGUGUGCACACUGUCCUUGUUCAUCAAGAAUUGGAGGAAACAAUGUUGCACCAUCAAAACUAGGCAACACAUGAAUACACUGAUCAGUACCUGAUUGACUCUGUGCUGUGGCUGCGGCCCAAGCUUUGAGAAAGGUGCUCAUGGCAACACCUGUUGGAGAGGAGAGAUCCCACAUUGGAAAAGUGACAAAUAAAAUAUAACUUAUAAGUGGGUGGAUCAUUCCUAAUUGUACCGAGGCCUUUUGUGAUUAAAACCCAACACCUUAAAGGUGGUUAAGUUGGGACAAACCCAUACUUCUGAGUAUAGCCUUUUGCUACUAACCUUGCCUUGUACCUGUCCACAAAACCAUCAGAAUUAUGUUUCAUCGUAUACACCCACCGACAACCAAUUGUCUUCUUCCCUGGUGGCAAUGACACUAACUCCCACGUAUGAUUCUUCUCAAGAGCAUCCAUCUCAACUUUCAUUGCCUGCAUCCACUUCUCAUCCUUCAUAGCAUCCUGCACUUUACUAGGAAGAGACACAGAAGAUAAUUGAUUCACAAAUGCUACAUAUGGUUUAGACAACCUGUGGGUAGACACAUAAUUAACAAUUGGAUAUUUAGCCUUAGCACUUAGAGUAGGUUCAUAAUAUUUUGGAGGCUGACCACGGGUUGAACGACUAGGCAAGAUUUUAGUUGGGACAUUAUUUGACACAGAAGAACUAGUAGAAAAACAAGGAUUAGGACAUACCUCGGGUGAUGAUUCAGCAGGUGAGACCGAUGAAGAAGAGGGAGAGACAGAAGAGCCAUUUAAAACAGCGCCAGAAGACUGCAACACAUCAUUAGAUUCAGGAUCUGAAAUCACUUCCCUAGCCGAUCGGUCGGAUUGUUCUGGAUCUAAUUGACCGUUGGGUAAAACACUGCCCAAAGAUUCUUCUCUAACCGGACAUUCUGACACGACCCACCCCGAAUUUCACCCUGAAACCCAGAGUAAGUCGUGCGGGGACCACUUCCAAGGAAAAUUUACUGAAAAGAUUAAGAAAAUCUCCCUUGCAGAUGGACAACCCUAACUCGAAAAUUUCAAAUUACACUCUUAAUUUAUCACUUCUGAACAACGCAUAAUAUACAAAAAUUCUAAAGUAAUUCAGAGCUACUAAACACAAGCGGAAGCAAGAAAACACGAGUAGGUUGAACAGGUAACCUACUGGCGAAAACUGGCAGAAAUGCGGGUGACUAUGCCUCGUCUCCUACUAGAUCCAACCCGAACUCUGCAGACUGGGCAAUUUAAAACGAAUGGCCCAGGGGAAAACAUUUAAUAACGUUAGAGUGAGUGGACAAAAAUAAAAUAAUAAAUAAAAUAUUUAUGUUUCCCCAAAUUAAUUCUAAGGAAAAAAUCGAAUGCAUGCCGCAAGCGAUAAAACUUUUAUCCCAUAAAAUAUCGAGCCUCUCAGACUCUAUAAUAUAUGUAUGUAUUUACACACGCCCAUACUCCCUAUAUAAAUUCAUGGGUCUAUAUAGGGCUACUACGCGCGCGUCCAACGCUCACGUCACGCCUUAAUGCGGUGCUACACUACGCCAUUAAGGUGGACAGACGGGUGUAUAAAUAUGUGUCCAUACCCCCUAUAUGAAUUAAACACUCAAAUAGGGCUACUACGCUUACGUCCAACGCUCACGUCACACCAUAAUGCGGCUAUAUGCUACGCCAUUAAGGUGGACAGACACAUAUGGCUAGCUAGCAUUUCAUACAUACUCUCUCAUAUAUACAUAUUUAUUUUCACCGAAAAUCCCAUUUUCGGUAACUCUCUNNNNNNNNNNNNNNNNNNNNGAGAAAAGAAGAAGAAAUGGGUUGGGCUCGGCCCAGCCGACCCAACACUCCUUUUAACCCAAAAUUCCAAAAUUCAACACCCCGAAAAAUAAUACCCGAAUAAAAAUUACCUUUUACUAGCUAAAAUUUACUAUUUUUACCGUCGUCGUAUUUUCCCCAUACGAAUUAUCCUCCGCACAUAAUCAUCCCCGAAACCCCUCUAGGGACCAAUUAAACUAUUUACUCAAAGAUCGGGACGGUAAAAUUCUUAUUAUAAUCACGCUAGUAAAUGAGGUAAAAAUAUAAGGGUCGGGAUGUGACACAUUCAGAUUGAACUGGUGUGUCACUGAUUCCACUUUUUUCUGUUUCUAUCUCGGAUGACUGAUCUGUAGAGUUGGGCUGACCAUUUGGUGAAAUUUUGUCGUUCUUUUCAAGCUCUGUCGCUACACACUCCACCCUUGUGACUUCUGGUGUCACACUCUCAUUAUGUCCAACAAACAAAUCUUCAUAAUAACUAAACCUCUCCCCCUGACGAGGAGUCACAGGAGGCAGGAAAUAACAUACAUCUUCACUGAAAGUAACAUCCAUGGUGACAUAAAACCUUUGGGACUGAGGAUGAUAACAUUUGUAGCCUUUCUGCUGAGAGCCAUACCCAACAAAUACACACUUAAGGGNNNNNNNNNNNNNNNNNNNNCUAGACCUAUGACUCUUAGCCGAAGCACAAGUUUCACAAUGCAAACUAGACUCACUCACUCCGAAAAACAACGAAGGCAUGGACUUUUUCAUUACCCCAAAAGAUGCAUGUCCCAAACGUCUGUGCCACAACCAUAACUCACUCAACCGAUCAGAACUCAAUGUCAGGGCCAAAGGUUGUUCUGGUGCUUGUGCUUGUCCUGUGUACAUGCAAUCUAAGUGAAACAGUCUCCCCCUCAGGUCUCCCUUGCCAAUGAUCACCCGAGUGCACAGAUUCUGAAAAACAACAUACAUUGGAUAAAAGGUCACGGAACACUUAUUUUGUGAACUCAACUGAGAUACUGAUAAUAGAUGAUGAGACAACGAGGGUACAUAAAGGCAUCAUGUAAAACAAUAGACGGUGUUACCUGGAUAGACCCAAUACCUAAGACCGGAAAAGAUGCACCAUUUGCAUUACAGACAUGAGAAAUAGGACGGAUAAGACAUAGACACAAAGAAAGAUUUAUCAUAGGUCAUAUGGUCUGACGCACCGGAAUCAAUAAUCCAUGUAUCUCCACCAGUAAAGUUAGCAACAUGUAAAGCAACACCAAAUUUACCUCGAGUUUCCUUAGUCAAGGAAAUAUUAUCUUUUGAAAAAUGAUCAGUGAUAUUUUGAAUGAUUACAACUUUUCGAGACGCACAACUUGAGUCUCCAGUCUCUUUAGCCCCGUCAGUGAUCUGGAAAUCAACCAUCUUCUCUAUUCUUCAAGUAUCAAUAUAUUAUUACCAGUCAAGGUUAACUUGAUCAGACCAAAACACAGAGGAACUAGCUUGCAAACUAGCUAGGAAUGUAUACCACGUGCUCCUUGAUUUGAUAUGGAUAUAUAUAUAGGCCACAGAAACCUGCUAAUUAAACAAGCAGGAGUUGUGCGACCUUGAGUCUCCACGUACCAACCUACCGAAACGGAUCCUUUUUCACAAAUCGCCAAAAAACCGGCAAACAAACCAAGCAACCACAGAGCAAGGCAAGUCAAGAAGAACUAAAAGAAAACUGAAUCUUCCGAUAAAAAAACCUCGUUCACACUACAAAGUAAGGCCAAUUCAGAAACAAUGGAACCCCAACGACUAAAAGAAACUUCAAUAAAUCUCAACGCCAAACGAACUAUAACUUCAAUAAUUCCAAACAAACCCCAAUGCCAGAAAAAACCAAAAGAACCAAAUUUGCAGCGGAAAGAAACAGCCGAGCCCGAAUGGAUCUCGGCUCUGAUACCAAGUCAAAUAGAACAAGGUAUUUGGGAAUUUCUGAUUAAUUCAUUCAUCCCUAAGAAUAGGGUUAAUAUACAUGAUACAUAGUAACCUAUUAGGAAACUAAUCCCUAUUAGGAAGCUAAUACUACUAAUAUAAUAUUUACAUUCCUAGCACCAUAAGGGUGCGUGACUCACGCCAACAACACCAUCAACAAUCAUGUGAGAAACAUACACUCCAAUCACAAGGCCGCCGCAGGCGAAGUUGGUUACUUGUAUCAUGACUACAUCAGCUCCUCCUCCGGGGGCGGUUGUGGUAUUUUUAAGUUGACCACUGUGAUCAAGCAUACUGUUGAAAGGUGGAAGAAGCUUUGGGAGUAGUGACAAAUCAGGAUGCUGCAGAAACUCCGAGAGGUCAUGUGACUCAACUUUAGCCUCUAUGUAACAAGCUCCUUCAUCGUUGCAAUCUAUGCAAAGAUUGCUUCUGAUUCUUCCUGCAAGCGGAUAGAAGCGAGUCAGGGUUUCCGAGAGAGAUUGUUUGAGUGCUUGUGAUCUUUCACUGCUAGUGGUAUUGAGAGGUGAAACAGGACGAUAGAACAAGAUCAUGGGAAUAUAAACUGGAGGCAUCAAGUGAUCUAAGAGAGAAAAUUUGUGAGUGCUUAAGUGUGGAGGUGUUGGGGAAGAGGGCUUGAUGUACUCCUUGGACAAUAUUCUGACCUCCAUUGGAGCAAAGCUUCAGAGAGUAUGUGAUCAAUGAUUUGUUAACUAUAGCUUUUGCUGUCACAACAAAAUAGAUAGCUCUACUAGCUAUAUAUGAAUGAAUGAAGUUCAUGAGCUACUGCAGUACUCUAUGUACUGGAUUUUUUCCUUGAUCUUCUCGAUCCGUUUGAAUUAAACCAUAUGCCAUUUGGAUUAUUUUUUUAUCAAAGUCGCUAAAACAUCACCUUCCAGUUGGUCAGAUGGUGUAUGAUAUGCCAUAGAAUAAUAGCAAAACCAGGUCAACUAAACCAGAUUAGAACGACCCCGGAUAGAGCAGAUUGGGUAUCGUUGAAUACAAGCUAAUGAAAAUCUGCCAAAAUUGCAAGGCAAGUUCAUUCAGACAUUUCAUCGAACAUCUUAUGUGCAAUCUUCACACUAAACUUAGGUCCGGUGAUGACGUAUUAAAAUAUUGUUGCAUGUGUUGGGCUUUAUUAGAGACUUGUUAAAUUUGGAUGAAAAAUCGUGACUUUAAAGACUAUUCAGAUUAAAAUAAAACCACAAAAACUAAACAGAUGUCGACUUCAAACCACAAAGACUAAACAAAUUACAAUUUUUUUUUUUUUCCAAUUACCCAGAUCUCUGUCUAAGUUCAUUCAUCUCCAACAAUCACAUGUAUCAAUUUCGCCUCACUCACAUUUCUCUUUUUGUUUUUACAGAGCCAGGUUUUCAUUGCGGUCCAUUGCAGAAUCAUUUUCACACCUCCAUGUAUGCCUUUAUUUAUAGCUGGAUUUGAUUUUCGUAUUUGUAUUUAUUUUCCGAGUUCUGAAUUGUUGUUAGUGUUGUUAUUGUAGGGACGAAGAAUUGGUCAUUGGAGACUACCAUUCUCAAACUCCUACUAGAUCAACUGGUAAUCUUUCAUAUAUAGCUCAUCUAGCCAAAUAGCCAGGUUCGUUUAUUGUUCAUUACUUGUAUUGCUACAGAGCCUACAUAGCAAAUUUUAUUCACUGGGCUUUGUCCAAAAGAAAAUGAUAGUACAUGAUAAAUGAUUGUAAAGGUAGAACUCUACAACUCUAUUUUACAAACUUUACCAGCAAAAGACUCGAAAGCAGAAACAGAAAUGAUGAAAUGAACAAUUGGAAACCAGUGUAUUGGUUUUACCUGAGGAGAAUACUAGGAUUAAGAGAAGCAAAAGCAAGCAAGUCCUGAUUGCUUUGCAAUAAUAUCAUUUCUUCCUCAGCUAGAGAAAUCCAAGCUUCAAAUCCAUUGUUUCCCCAUUCUCCUGUAUCCAUCAAACGAACCACAUUGACCGAAAAGGCCUCGUGGCAGGGCUCAUGAACUGGAGCGACCCACAGAGGCUUUCCCCAGCCGAAAUCGGCAUCAUACACUCCAGAGUAGGCAAUGCUUGUAUACCCAAUAAAGUUCAUCUCCACCUUAUCAUCCCCAUUAGUAGUGGAGAGUGCAAUAGCAUCAGCCAUGUCUUGGAAAACCUUACUCAAAGUCUCCAACCUGCCCUGAUCUUGUAGCUUCGCCACCAAGUCACCAUUGACUUUCGAUGUCGCUUCCCUCAUCUUGCUCACCAAGCUUGACAACUCUAACUCCUCUUCUCCGUGACAUUCAUUUGCUAUUGCACCUGUCAAACAAACAAAAUUCCCCAUACUAUUUUGUGGAAGAUUCGGGUCAGCUCUUCGGCGCAAAUUCACUGCGUGUGUUAUCAAACUUGGUGCAGAUCGACCAGACUUGGCCUUCCAAGCAGCUCUGGCGCAUUUCCAGAUGAAUGCCGAAACUGCCUCCACCCGACUUGGAUUCUGUAAUGAUGAUGUUGCUGCUAGCUCUUUAAGUUUGGCCACAGCUGAGGCCUCAAAUACAAAUCUCUUAUUAACACACCUUCCUUUCUUGGCAAAACGCCUGUACAAGCCCCUCAUAGUUGCUUCUGUUGGGUGUGCAAACUUUCCUUGUUCAUCAUGAAUCGGAGGGAACAAUGUUGCACCAUCAAAACUAGGCAACACAUGAAUACACUGAUCACCUGAUUGAUUCUGUGCUGUGGCUGCAGCCCAAGCCUGGAGAAAAGUGCUAAUGGCAACACCAUCAACAAUCAUGUGAGAAACAUACACUCCAAUCACAAAGCCGCCGCAGGCGAAGUUGGUCACUUGUACCAUGACUACAUCAGGUCCUCCUCCUGGGGUGGUGGUGGGAUUCGUAAGUUGAUCAGUGUAAUCUAGCAAACUGUUGAAAGGUGGAACGAGCUUAGGGAAUAGUGACAAAUCCGGAUGCUGCAGAAACUCCGAGAGGUCAUGAGACUCAACCUUAGCCUCUAUGUAAUAAGCUCCUUCAUCGUUGCAAUCUAUGCAAAGAUUGCUUCUGAUUCUUCCUGCAAGCGGGUAAAAGCGAGUCAGGGUUUCCGAGAGAGAUUGUUUGAGAGCUUGUGAUCUUUCACUGCUAGUAGAAAUGGGAGGUGAAACAGGAGGAUAGAACAAGAUCAUGGGAACAUAAACUGGAGGCAUUAAGUGAUCCAAGAGAGAAAAUUUGUAAGUGUUCAAGUGUGGAGGUGUUGGGGAAGAGGGCUUGAUGUACUCCUGGGAAAUUAUUUGGACCUCC